GCGGAUGUGGUGGAAUUGGCAGACACGCCAGAUUUAGGUUCUGGUGCGAAAGCAUGCAGGUUCAAGUCCUGUCAUCCGCACCA
This 83-nucleotide transfer RNA is filed under the name Oscillospiraceae bacterium. RNAcentral describes it as "tRNA-Leu". It matches the Rfam family "tRNA". Rfam says of the family: Transfer RNA (tRNA) molecules are approximately 80 nucleotides in length. Their secondary structure includes four short double-helical elements and three loops (D, anti-codon, and T loops). Lineage: Bacteria; Bacillati; Bacillota; Clostridia; Eubacteriales; Oscillospiraceae. RNAcentral also lists the same sequence under 1 other name. The record is from RNAcentral.